RNAcentral lists this ribosomal RNA (317 nucleotides) under uncultured bacterium. RNAcentral's name for it is "bacterial SSU rRNA". It matches the Rfam family "Bacterial small subunit ribosomal RNA", at positions 28 to 307 of the family's 1533-position model. The record is from RNAcentral.
GAUGAACGCUGGCGGCGUGCCUAAUACAUGCAAGUCGAACGCAUUGUGGUUGAAAUGAUAUGAAGAACUUGUUCAGAUUUGAUUUUCAACAUUGCAAUGAGUGGCGAACGGGUGAGUAACACGUGGGAAACCUACCUCUUAGCAGGGGAUAACAUUUGGAAACAAAUGCUAAUACCGUAUAAUAAUUAAAACCGCAUGGUUUUAGUUUAAAGAUGGUCUUGCUAUCACUAAGAGAUGGUCCCGCGGUGUAUUAGUUAGUUGGUGAGGUAAUGGCUCACCAAGACAAUGAUACAUAGCCGAGUUGAGAGACCGUACGG